Long non-coding RNA from Cavia porcellus (domestic guinea pig), 2929 nucleotides. The record is from Ensembl. NCBI's taxonomy places the organism in Eukaryota, Metazoa, Chordata, Mammalia, Rodentia, Caviidae.
CCGCCUGCUCCCCCACCGCGCGGGCGCGCAGCUGGGGAAAGCGGAAGCCGGGGCGGGGCGAGGGGCGGGGGCGGGUCUUUGGAGACCUACGUUCGCGCCCACACUGCGGAGCGACAAAUUGAGGCCGGGAGGGCGGAGUUGGGCCUGGGCGCCGCCUCCGGAGCCCUGUCCUGCUCCGGGUCGGGGACAGGCGGGGCGGGUCACGUGGGUGUGACAGCUGGGAGGGGCGGCCCGCGUCAAUGUGGUCGGGAGGCGGCGGCCCGCGCCCCGAGCCCCGGCGCUGAGGACCCCGGCACCCCUCCGCCGGAGCUCGGCGCCAACCCCUGCCCAGCCCAGCGCAGCCCCCGGCCGCCGGGCCGGCCGCACCAUGUUUUCCAAGAAGAAACGGGAGCUCAUAAAAACCCCGUCCAUCUCCAAAAAGAACCGCGCGGGAAGCCCCAGCCCGCAGCCGUCGGGGGAGCUGUCCAGGAAAGAUGGGGCUGAUUCCGUGUUCCCUGGACUUAGCCUGGACGUCCCAGCGUCGUCCUCGGGUGUCAAGACCUCGGCCACCUUGAAGCGGCCCACCAGCCUCAGCCGCCAUGCCAGCGCUGCAGGCUUCCCGCUCUCGGGCUCGGGCUCCUGGACCCUAGGCCGGGGCUACCGAAGCCCCUUGAUGGCUGCCAGCCCUGCAGAACCCUCUGCUGAGGGUCUAGGCCCUGAGACCACUGAGGAUAUCUCCAGCCUGCUGGCUGAUGUGUCCCGCUUAGCAGAUGGUCUGGUAAAACUCAAGGAGUGUGUGUCAAAUGAUGAGCUCCUGGAGGCCCGGAGGCCGAAGGCCCAUGAGCGCCUGGGGGAGGCCCUGCGUGUGCUACAUCAGGUCAUCUGCAAGUACCCAAUGCUGAACACCUUGGAGACACUGACUGCCGCGGGCAAGCUCAUCGCCAAGGUUAAAGCCUUCCAUUUUGAAUGUAACCUUGACUCAGACAAAAGGGAAUUUGAGAAAGCCCUGGAGACCAUGGCAGUGUCCUUCAGCAGUAGUGUGUCGGAGUUCUUUAUGGGUGAGGUGGAUAGCAGCACACUCCUGGCCGUGCCUCUUGGGGACCCCAGCCAGGCCAUGGAGAACCUUUACUCAGGCAGCGAGGGCUCCCCAGCCGGCGCCGAGGACUGCGAGGAAGGCUGCCUGCCCCCGGAGGAGGUGGACCUACUUCUGCAGCGCUGUGAGGGCGGCGUGGACGUGGCCCUGCAGUAUGCCAAGAACAUGGCCAAGUACAUGAAAGACCUCAUUGGCUACCUGGAGAAGCGGAUGGCGCUGGAGAUGGAGUUCGCUAAGGGUCUGCUGAAAAUCAUCCACGGCUGCCGACAGAGCGUGAUUCAAGAGCCCCACAUGCCCCUGAUGUCCAUCUACUCGCUGGCCCUGGAACAGGACAUGGAGUUCAGCCACAGUAUUGUGCAGGCAGCGACCACGCUGCAGGCGCAGACCUUCAUACAGCCCCUCACCCACCGGCGGCUGGAGCAUGAGAGGCGCAGGAAGGAAAUCAAGGAGUCCUGGCAACGUGCACAGCGGAAGCUGCAAGAAGCUGAAAACAACCUGAAAAAGGCCAAGGCGAGCUACGUGCAGCGCUCUGAGGACCAUGACAAGGCCCGGUUUCAAGUGGCCAAGGAAGAGCAGGGCGCCACCCCACCUGGGGUGGGCAGUGCAGCUUCCAAGACACUGGACAAGAGGCGACGGCUGGAGGAGGAAGCCAAGAACAAGGUCAGGGUAUGGGGAUGAGACCGGGGGUGCAGAUUUCGCCUCCAGGCUUCGACUCAGACCCCAGCUCCUCUUGAGAAUACCCUUCCCGGUGGCACCUGUGGUGGUGCACAGCUGUCAUUCCAGCACUGUGGGUGGCUGAGGCAGAAGGAUCUCAAAUUCUAGCCCAGCCUGGACCACUUUAGCAAGACCUUCUCUCAAAAAGUAAAAAAACAAAACCCAAAAAAUCAGACUGGGAAUGUAGCUCAUGUAAAGGCCCAAGAUUCCAUUCCUAGGACCACAAAAUAAACACACAAUUUAAAAAAUGCCCCUCCCACCUUCUCCUGCCUGGCUCCUCCAGAGAAUUUUUGUUUUAUUUGACUAAUUAUUUUUGAUCUUAGGAACGUCUUUAUUCUUAAUCAAAGGGCAACACUUUUCUCCAGUCAGCAUCAAAUCUAUUUUACAGGGUACUAUUUUUGUUAACCACAAAACCUUUCAGAAGGCAGCUUUAAUUGAAAGUUUAAAAUUUGCACUUUCACACUAGAAGACCAUUAGUUUUAUGGAUUCAGUGGUUAAGAAGGCAAAAGUCCCAUAAAGGCUUCAGGGCAAGUGGAAUCUAAAUGAUUCAGAUCAGUAGUAUAGUGUAUCAAACCGGCCCCUUCCCUUGUAUUCAAAACCAGGUCAGUAGCGAUUAUUUGUGGUCAACUCAACUGCACAAGCAUGCAACCAAAUUUGAAACCAACUCCGCCUUCACGUUACUGUAAUUAAUUUAUGUUCGAGGCAGAGUCUCACUAUGCAAUUCAGGCUGGCCUUGAAUUUAUAAUGUAGCCCAGGCUGGCCUCGAACUCCUGGUGAUCCUCCUGCCUCAGCCUCCCAAGCCCUGGGAUGCUAGGCAUGCAGCCCCAAGCCGGCUCUCGGGAGGUUUUCCUGUCAGGCCUGGCCAGUAACAGACUGGCUGAGGCCUGAGCCCCUGGGCUGAGCCUCCCGGCCCAUCCUGACCCCCUUACACACACCCCAGGCGGAGGAAGCCUUGGCCACCUACCGCACGUGCGUGGCAGAUGCCAAGACUCAGAAGCAGGAGCUGGAGGACACGAAAGUGGCGCGCUGCGGCAGAUCCAGGAGAUCAUCCGCCAAAGCGACCAGACCAUCAAGUCGGUGGGUGGCGGCCGUGCUGCGCGCCCGCUUGGCGGGGGGUGGGGAGGGGGAGUGGCGGGGGACUGG